This is a long non-coding RNA of Musa acuminata AAA Group (dessert banana), 838 nucleotides long. RefSeq lists it as uncharacterized. The record is from RefSeq and is a predicted model, not a curated record. The transcript has 5 exons. Lineage: Eukaryota; Viridiplantae; Streptophyta; Magnoliopsida; Zingiberales; Musaceae.
AAAAAUAACGGCCGUUAUCUUUUAGUGCUGUCGACCGCUACUUAACCAGCAGCACGGAACGCCGACCGAAAGGAACGAUGGCUUCCUCUCCCCCUUCGUGCGGUGCCGCCCCUUGCACUCUAUUCUUCCAAUGCAAGCCUUAGGUAUCGGCGCCAGGCUCUCGCUCUUCCCUCUCGUGAGGUUCCUCCUCACCUUCUUUUGCUUCGAGCGCGCCAUCAACCCCAUCGAUUCGUGGAAGUUCAAGGUCGCCCUCCUUGUCUUCCUUCGCUCCCCUUCUUUCUCCCACUCCCUCCCACCUAGGACUCCUCGUCCGGCGCCGCUGCUCCGACCUCGACGAGCGCAAGCGCGACGACCCCGUGGUGUCCGGGACUCUCUAUGUGGGCGAUCUACGGCUCCUCAGGAACAAGGGGGCAUCGAGAAUGAGGUUCUUGGACUGGAACGGAUAUGAACCUCGCGGCGUCAAGUUCAAGAUGAGCGUGGAGAUCCUCCGAUGAUUUCGAGAAGAUGAAGAAAUCAUGGGUGGAUUAUUGUGCUCCGCAGUUGCUGAAUUGCUGAAGACGAGUUGCCAAGCGACCAGAUACUGCUCGGGGUGUUUCUUCGUGAUGGUUCACCGAGCCAUGAGCUUCAUCGAAUGUCUCAAUGUUGGUCACGCGUACCAUUUUUUCCACAAUGGGUAAGAUAAGGAAUGAUGGGACUGCAUCAAUCUAGGAGCUAAGCUGGUAGAGCCCGAGGAUACAACAUGCAGGCUUAAAUAGUCUCAGCAUGAAGUAUAAGGCAAGAUCGACCGGACAAGACUCGCAGAUCCUGAGCUUCAUUUCAUUUACAAAGUAAUUGACCA